CAAUUCCAAUAGGAUACGCUCCAACGCUGCUCCUGAUGCAACGCAGUCUAAGUAGAAUCGUAAUAAGACGUCAAUGUAUUACAACAAUGGGACAAUAUUUCGGAUAUUUUAAUCAUAGGUACUUACGAAAAAAGUGUUAUGAAGCAAAUUUGAUCUUUAUUUUUAGUCGUUAUAGUACAAUUUCACUUUGUCUGCCGGCUUAGAUAAGCGUACUACUUAUAUUAUGUUAUCUGAAUUCGGUUAGAAUGGCAAUCGUCAUAAAAUUGGAGGAAAAAAAAAAGAGUGAGUAUUAAAUACUGUUGCCUAUAUUUAUUUAAUAUUUAUGUGUAUUUAUGGACCUAUCUAAGACCGUUCCAAAUUUUUUUUAUCUAAUAGAGUCAGAUUGAAAUUGACAGGAAUGGACUGCAUUGUAAGAUACACUUGAUACAGGAAGU
This is a long non-coding RNA of Bombyx mori (domestic silkworm), 434 nucleotides long. RefSeq lists it as uncharacterized. The transcript has 2 exons. The record is from RefSeq and is a predicted model, not a curated record. NCBI's taxonomy places the organism in Eukaryota, Metazoa, Arthropoda, Insecta, Lepidoptera, Bombycidae.